RNAcentral lists this long non-coding RNA (345 nucleotides) under Malus domestica (apple). Its description in RNAcentral is "long non-coding RNA (MDOM_LNC008447)". Lineage: Eukaryota; Viridiplantae; Streptophyta; Magnoliopsida; Rosales; Rosaceae. The record is from RNAcentral.
CAAAACCAUGAACACUUUUUCAAGAUUUGUGUAUUCUUGGUGAUUUUUCAAACCCAAAAACAAAAGUGACAAGGUUUCUACUUUCUAGCUUUAAAAUGAUGUGUGAGUGUCUUACAAUAAAACACAAACACAUGCUCAAAAAACCCCCAAAACCGUGCCAACCACAAAGAACAAAACCCCAAAUUUUGUCCAUGACUUAUUCUUCAUUCAUGCAUACAAAACAACCUUUUUACAUGCAUAUCUUUUUCAACUCUUGAUUUAUAUUUUUUCAACCAUUGAAAAACAAAAGAUAAACAUACUUUUAAAUGAAGAAAUAAUAUGUCAAACUAGUUCUAAACUCAUUUU